This 254-nucleotide ribosomal RNA is filed under the name uncultured bacterium. RNAcentral describes it as "partial 16S ribosomal RNA". It matches the Rfam family "Bacterial small subunit ribosomal RNA", at positions 524 to 776 of the family's 1533-position model. The record is from RNAcentral.
UACGUAGGCAGCGAGCGUUGUUCGGAGUUACUGGGCGUAAAGGGUGUGUAGGCGGUUAUUUAAGUUUGGUGUGAAAUCUCCCGGCUCAACCGGGAGGGUGCGCCGAAUACUGAAUGACUUGGAGUGCGGGAGAGGUGAGUGGAAUUCCUGGUGUAGCGGUGAAAUGCGUAGAGAUGCGGAGGAACACCGAUGGCGAAGGCAGCCCCCUGGGCUAGCACUGACGCUCAGGCACGAAAGCGUGGGGAGCAAACAGG